GAAAGGGCUGUAACCACUAAAGG
This 23-nucleotide non-coding RNA is filed under the name Cricetulus griseus (Chinese hamster). Lineage: Eukaryota; Metazoa; Chordata; Mammalia; Rodentia; Cricetidae. The record is from RNAcentral.